CCUACGGGUGGCAGCAGUGAGGAAUAUUGGUCAAUGGGCGCGAGCCUGAACCAGCCAAGUAGCGUGAAGGAUGACGGCCCUAUGGGUUGUAAACUUCUUGUAUAGGGGAAUAAAGUGCAGUAUGUAUACGGCGUUGCAUGUACCUUAUGAAUAAGGAUCGGCUAACUCCGUGCCAGCAGCCGCGGUAAUACGGAGGAUCCGAGCGUUAUCCGGAUUUAUUGGGUUUAAAGGGAGCGUAGGCGGGUUGUUAAGUCAGUGGUGAAAGUUUGCGGCUCAACCGUAAAAUUGCAGUUGAUACUGGCAUCCUUGAGUACAGUAGCGGUCGGCGGCUUUCGUGGUGUCGCGGUGACAUGCUUAGCUCUCACG
This 366-nucleotide ribosomal RNA is filed under the name uncultured bacterium. RNAcentral's name for it is "partial 16S ribosomal RNA". It matches the Rfam family "Bacterial small subunit ribosomal RNA", at positions 338 to 701 of the family's 1533-position model. The record is from RNAcentral.